GGAGAGGUGCCCGAGAGGCCUAAGGGCGCUGCUUGGAAAGCAGAUGGUCGCAACAAUGCGGCACGAGCGUUCGAAUCGCUCCCUCUCCGCCA
This 92-nucleotide transfer RNA is filed under the name Chloroflexota bacterium. Its description in RNAcentral is "tRNA-Ser". It matches the Rfam family "tRNA". From Rfam's summary of the family: Transfer RNA (tRNA) molecules are approximately 80 nucleotides in length. Their secondary structure includes four short double-helical elements and three loops (D, anti-codon, and T loops). Further hydrogen bonds mediate the characteristic L-shaped molecular structure. tRNAs have two regions of fundamental functional importance: the anti-codon, which is responsible for specific mRNA codon recognition, and the 3' end, to which the tRNAs corresponding amino acid is attached (by aminoacyl-tRNA synthetases). tRNAs cope with the degeneracy of the genetic code in two manners: having more than one tRNA (with a specific anti-codon) for a particular amino acid; and 'wobble' base-pairing, i.e. permitting non-standard base-pairing at the 3rd anti-codon position. The record is from RNAcentral. Lineage: Bacteria; Bacillati; Chloroflexota.